This is an RNA transcript of Equus caballus (horse), 3408 nucleotides long. It is a transcript of the gene named general transcription factor IIIC subunit 6, with no coding region annotated. NCBI's taxonomy places the organism in Eukaryota, Metazoa, Chordata, Mammalia, Perissodactyla, Equidae. The record is from RefSeq and is a predicted model, not a curated record.
GGCUGGCUGCCCUCACUCAAGAUGGCGGCGCCGGGGGGGCGUGGCCGGUGACGCGGAGGCCCGAGCAGGGCGGGAACAUGGCGGCGGCUGAGGAGCCGAGUCGCGGGGACCGGGAAGACGGGGAAGAGGAGGAAGAGGAGGAAGAGGAGGCCGAGCAGUUGGUUUUGGUGGAAUUGUCAGGAAUUAUUGAUUCAGACUUUCUCUCAAAAUGUGAAAAUAAAUGCAAGAUUUUGGGAAUUGACACUGAGAGGCCCAUUCUGCAAGUGGACAGCUAUGUCUUUGCUGGCGAGUAUGAAGACACUCUUGGGACUUGUGUUAUAUUUGAAGAAAAUGUUGAACAUGUGGAUGCAGAAGGAAAUAAUAAGACAGUGCUGAAGUAUAAAUGCCAUACAAUGAAGAAGCUCAACAUGACAAGAACUCUUCUGACAGAAAAGAAGGAAGGAGAAGAAAACAUAGGUGGUGUGGAAUGGCUGCAAAUCAAGGAUAAUGAUUUCUCCUAUAGACCCAACAUGAUUUGUAGCUUUCUACAUGAAAAUGAAGAUGAAGAUGUUGUAGUUCCAGCCUCAGAUAAACCUUUGGAGUUGGAAGAGCAAGAAAUUCAAAUGAAGGAUAAUUCAAACCUGAGUCAUGAACAGGGGAAGCCACUGCACCUGGAAAUAGAGGAUUCUGGUCCUCUUAUUGAUAUCCCUUCUUUUGAGACAGAAGGUUCUGUUUUUAUGGAAACUCAAGAUGCUACUUUAGAAAGCUCUCCUAGAUGAAAUGUUUCUCGUAAUAACUAGUCGUGAACUUUUUAGAGUUUUUAUAUAAAAUAUUUGGCUGUGUAGCUUUCAGUUCACUAUUAUUUUAUUUUUGUUGGCUAUACACAUAUUUCCAAUUAUAGCUACAACUUAAUAUAACAGAAUCAUUAAGGACCAGGUAUGAACUGAAUUUUUUAAAAUAUGGUUUAAAUGACUAUAGCAACCCUUCUCUGCUGAGUCCUUUAAACUGGAGAUUUUACUAAGGUCCAUUUGAUUACAUUGGGCCCACCUGGAUGACCUUCCUGUUUUAAGGUCUGUAACUUUAAUUUCAUUUGCAAAGUCUGUUUUGCCAUGUAACUUAAUGUAAACAGGCAUAAAACUGAGGAUUAGGGCCUGAAAAUUUUGGGGGGCCAUUUUCCGGUCUACCACAGUAAGUAUUAUAUCUAGGAACAGAAAAAGAAUUCAGAAGUGCUUAAGGAUAAAGUUCAAGUUCCUGAUAGUCCAGCUGUAAUUCCACUCCUUUCCCCCUUGAGAAAGAUACUGGAAUUCAGAUGUAACAGUCAUUCUAUUAUGGUGAUGAGCAGAUCUGGUCUAAUUUGUGUUUUUUAAGUAAAUUAUUCACAAACUUUAAUACUUUGUUAUAGGUUGAACUAUAUGAAAUUGCCAAUAUUCAAUUGUUUCUAACUACAAAAAACAGCAACUUCGUAUGGUUUUACCUGGUGUUAAUACGUUAAAACAAACCUGACAUUAAUUAUAUCUCAUAAGGGUUGGAGAUAUAACUGUUUUUUGUGACAGAUCAGAGAACUAAUGUUCUAGGGUGAGGAAUUUUUUUCUUCAAUAAGUUUUGUAACUUUUCAAAAAAAAACUUAUGCUGAUUAAAAACAUUUCCAAAUCAUAAGUGCAUAUGUCUUCCCAAUUUUUAUACGGCUUUUUUAGCCUCAGCUUUUGUUAAUAAAAAGCUUACUUUUCCCACCAUAUGUCUGUGUAGGAGAGACUGCUAAUUAUCUGACCCAAUAUCUGUUCUUCCUUUUUUUCUUUGUAACAGAAUCCCAGAAUUUAUUCAGGUUAUUAAUGUGCCCAGCUUUCCUUGCGUGUAUACAUGGCCAUUUGACUAAAUUCUGGGCAGUGACAUGGAAUUAGAAGUGUCGAGAGUGGGAUGAUUCUGGCAAGUUUUCUUAAACUUUAAGGUGUAAGAGGAAAUGGGCCAGCUCAUCUUCUCUUUCUUCCUGCUGGAACAUGGCUGUGGCGGCUAGAGUUCCACCAGGCUUCCUAGACUGUAAAGUAACCUUGGAAAUAGAAGCCCUGGGUGGCAGAGCAACAAGAUAGAAGAUCGGAUUCUGACACUAUGCUGCUGCCCUAGACUGCUGUGAACAGAGGGUUAGUAAAACCCUUCUUUUUCUUCCUAGUAGAAUGAGCUCGACUUUACCUUUCAGCAGCGUUUUCUCUGGAAGCCUGCUGGACAAGGUACUAAUAGAGCAUCAGCUGUAAUGCCAGGCGAUAUUGUUUGUCAUUUAAAAUUACCCUUAUUGGUAAGCUGUACCUGGACCAGGACGACUGUGACAAGUGCUAUAAAUGUCCAUUGGAAAGCGUGUGCUUUGGACUUCCUUAAGUGCUGUGUUUCUUUUUGCAAAGAUCCCUGGAAGCGACACUCAUGGGCUCUGAAGAGAUAUUGGUUCUUAGGGAGCAUGAAGGUUGUAAGCCAAUGUGGCUUCUGCACCCACCCAGAUGAUCUUGUUCCGUUAGAGUGGAGCUCACACUCGGGAGUCUGGAGCAAAGACUCCUGCUGAAACAAGUCAUGCUGCUGUGCUUUUUCCUAUGAAGUCAAGUGAGCCGCUGCAGGUUGGGUCCCCCAGGCUUAUUGGGUCCUGUGAGCGAAUGUCAUUCCAAAACUCUGACUACUACUGCUGUUCAGGCAGAGAAGGCAUUGCAACUACCUACCUCUGGCCUUUUACGUGAGAGAAAUAACUUCUCUCUUGUUUAAGUCACUCUGUAAUGGCCACAGUUAACCCUAAUGGAUACAAUGUGCAUUUUAGAAAACUUGAAAAAUGUAGAAAAGUAUAAAGAAGUUGAGUGGAAGAUUCUUGAGAUUUGUAAACUUGUAAAAGAAACUGAUCUAGACUAUUAGGUAAGUUACACCUUAAAUUGAAGAAGAAAAUGAAAUCAUAAAUUCUGAAGAGAAUAUGAUGUGUUUUAGCUUCUUACCUGUUAAUAGGAUAGAUGUUUGGAAUUUAGUGAAAUAAAAUCUUAUUUUUCAACCGUGAAAUAUUUUGUAAGACUAGAACUUCAUAUAUGAAUUUCUCCUCUGUUGAUUUGCCUUGUAACUUACUAGGAUUACUCAUCUUGGAACCAGUCUCUCUGUGGCUGUCACACUAAAGACUACUUCUGACACCAAAUGCAGUGGGUGGCUUUUACUUGCAAAUGAUGGUGUUCUAUUCAAAAGGGAUCAUAUUGUUAGAAUGUAUCAUGGAGAAUUCUUCCUUAAGGCCAUUAUAGAAAUGUUUGAAAACCCACCCGUUUUUCUUUUGUUUUUCUUUUUUGAGGGAAGUACUGGUAUUUUGUCUCUGGGUUUAAUGUAACUGUACUUACAUAACAUUAAUGAGAAUGUCAAGGUAGCAAGAGGUUCUAGUUUUCUCAGAUCCAAAAUAAAAUUUCUUUCACUAUCGUGUCUUAA